GACGAACCGUACAAACGUUAUUCGGCGUCACUGGGCUUAAAGGGUGCGUAGGCGGCGGAGAAAGUUAGGUGUGAAAUCCCUCGGCUCAACCGAGGAAUGGCGCUUAAAACUACUUCGCUCGAGGAAGAUAGAGGUGAGCGGAACUUACGGUGGAGCGGUGAAAUGCGUUGAUAUCGUAGGGAACACCAGUUGCGAAAGCGGCUCACUGGGUCUUUUCUGACGCUGAGGUACGAAAGCUAGGGUAGCGAACGGG
This 253-nucleotide ribosomal RNA is filed under the name uncultured bacterium. RNAcentral's name for it is "partial 16S ribosomal RNA". It matches the Rfam family "Bacterial small subunit ribosomal RNA", at positions 524 to 776 of the family's 1533-position model. The record is from RNAcentral.